This is a long non-coding RNA of Xiphophorus hellerii (green swordtail), 127 nucleotides long. RefSeq lists it as uncharacterized. The transcript is spliced from 3 exons. The record is from RefSeq and is a predicted model, not a curated record. NCBI's taxonomy places the organism in Eukaryota, Metazoa, Chordata, Actinopteri, Cyprinodontiformes, Poeciliidae.
UAGCAGGAGACUACAAAUAGGAAGACUACUUAUGCUAUGAAUUAAUGUAUGGAAAAGGGGUAUGAUUAUACAAGUUAAACUUCAUCAUACUCCUUUUCAGACUUACAGUCACCGAAUAAGUGGUGGA